Molecule: ribosomal RNA, 253 nt
Filed under: uncultured bacterium
Lineage: Bacteria
Description: partial 16S ribosomal RNA
Rfam family: Bacterial small subunit ribosomal RNA
Source: RNAcentral
UACGUAGGGCGCAAGCGUUGUCCGGAAUUAUUGGGCGUAAAGAGCUCGUAGGCGGUUUGUCGCGUCUGUCGUGAAAGCUUGGGGCUUAACCCCAAGUCUGCGGUGGAUACGGGCAGACUAGAGGCAGGUAGGGGAGAACGGAAUUCCCGGUGUAGCGGUGAAAUGCGCAGAUAUCGGGAAGAACACCUAUGGCGAAGGCAGCUCUCUGGGACGGUACUGACGCUGAGACGCGAAAGCGUGGGGAGCGAACAGG